UACGGGGGGGGCAAGCGUUGUUCGGAAUUACUGGGCGUAAAGGGUUUGUAGGUGGCUUGUUAAGUCAGACGUGAAAUCCCUCAGCUUAACUGGGGAACUGCGUCUGAUACUGGCGAGCUUGAGUGCAGGAGAGGAACGCGGAAUUCCAGGUGUAGCGGUGAAAUGCGUAGAUAUCUGGAGGAACACCGGUGGCGAAGGCGGCGUUCUGGACUGUAACUGACACUGAGAAACGAAAGCCAGGGUAGCAAACGGG
Molecule: ribosomal RNA, 253 nt
Filed under: uncultured bacterium
Lineage: Bacteria
Description: partial 16S ribosomal RNA
Rfam family: Bacterial small subunit ribosomal RNA
Source: RNAcentral